GCCGUCGCGGAGCCGGAAACGUGUUUUCCGGUGCCAGCCCCAGGGCCUGGGAGGCGGGGGUCGGUGGCUUGGUGGGUUGGUGGCUAGGAAAAGAAGAACGAUCAUCAAUGGCUAAUAGCAGCUGCAGAAGCAACACCAAAAGCCGGUUUCACGCUCAGGAGAGAACGCUGCGUCUCCUCCUCAUGGUUUCGGAGUACAUCAUGAGAAACGCUGGGCUGGAAGAAGCACAAGCUGGAAUCAAGAUUGCGGGGAGAAAUAUCAAUAACCUCAGAUAUGCAGAUGACACCACCCUUAUGGCAGAAAGUGAAGAGGAACUAAAAAGCCUCUUGAUGAAAGUGAAAGAAGAAAGUGAAAAGGUGUUAGGGGAAGCACACUGAUUGAAACCACCCACCCUGGCCAGGCACCAUAGUAACUAUUUGCAUGAGUUGUUUUAUGGCAGGAGAUCCUGAUAAGGAAUACGGAACUAAUAGGCCACCACCAGCCGGAAGAGUUCGGGAAAGAUCGAGAGGAGACACUACCUGUCCGUCCACUUCCCAGAAUCCCUCUUGCUAGCAUCCAUCUUGGCUGAGCGAUGCGUGCGCCACCAGGAAAGACUCUGAAUUAGAAUGAUUGGCCAAAGACCACCCGGAAACUAAUCCCAUCACCAUAAAACACAAGACUGCGAGCCACGCGGCAGAGCAGUUCUCCUGGAUUCCCUUACCUACUGCUCUCCACCCG
Molecule: long non-coding RNA, 717 nt
Organism: Dama dama (fallow deer)
Lineage: Eukaryota; Metazoa; Chordata; Mammalia; Artiodactyla; Cervidae
Exons: 4
Source: RefSeq, a predicted model, not a curated record